Molecule: long non-coding RNA, 387 nt
Filed under: Homo sapiens (human)
Lineage: Eukaryota; Metazoa; Chordata; Mammalia; Primates; Hominidae
Description: non-protein coding lnc-NUTM1-11:1
Source: RNAcentral
AAUUUCAGGGCCGUUGUCGCCUCCGGGCGGUCCGCGGGUCCCGAGCGGACUGGGACUCUGGAGACGUGCCCCCAACCCCACCGCCAUUCACCCUGUCAUUGCAGGGGAGAGAACAGAAUAAAGACGGGUACAUUUUCCAUCUCACCUCUGAACCUCGGUUAGGAAAACGCUGUAGCCCUGACUAGUGGGCUCAAGGGCCGACUGGAAAAGGGCGAGUCAGCGUUCAAAGCCGAUUCGGGGCAGCCCUCUCUAACGCAGAGGGCCGAGGAUAAGAAGACGACAAUGUGUUAGGGGCCCUCCGGGCUAGGACUGUCCUCACCACUUUGUACAUUGCCAAAGUAAAUAUAACGUAGAGGUCAAGCGCAGGCGCUUUGUGGGCAGACAUGA